This 229-nucleotide ribosomal RNA is filed under the name uncultured bacterium. RNAcentral's name for it is "partial 16S ribosomal RNA". It matches the Rfam family "Bacterial small subunit ribosomal RNA", at positions 524 to 751 of the family's 1533-position model. The record is from RNAcentral.
UACGAAGGGGGCUAGCGUUGCUCGGAAUUACUGGGCGUAAAGCGCACGUAGGCGGCUUUCUAAGUCGGGGGUGAAAUCCUGGAGCUCAACUCCAGAACUGCCUUCGAUACUGGAGAGCUUGAGUCCGGGAGAGGUGAGUGGAACUGCGAGUGUAGAGGUGAAAUUCGUAGAUAUUCGCAAGAACACCAGUGGCGAAGGCGGCUCACUGGCCCGGUACUGGACGCUGAGG